GUAGGUGGCAAGCGUUGUCCGGAAUUAUUGGGCGUAAAGCGCGCGCAGGCGGUUCUUUAAGUCUGAUGUGAAAGCCCACGGGCUCAACCGUGGAGGGUCAUUGGAAACUGGAGAACUUGAGUACAGAAGAGGAAAGCGGAAUUCCACGUGUAGCGGCGAAAUGCGUAGAGAUGUGGAGGAACACCAGUGGCGAAGGCGGCUUUCUGGUCUGUAACUGACGCUGAGGCGCGAAAGCGUGGGGAGCAAACAGGAUUAGAUACCCUGGUAGUCCACGCCGUAAACGAUGAGUGCUAAGUGUUAGGGGGUUUCCGCCCCUUAGUGCUGCAGCUAACGCAUUAAGCACUCCGCCUGGGGAGUACGGCCGCAAAGGCUG
This 373-nucleotide ribosomal RNA is filed under the name uncultured organism. Its description in RNAcentral is "partial 16S ribosomal RNA". It matches the Rfam family "Bacterial small subunit ribosomal RNA", at positions 527 to 896 of the family's 1533-position model. The record is from RNAcentral.